This 82-nucleotide transfer RNA is filed under the name Coleochaete orbicularis. RNAcentral describes it as "tRNA-Tyr". It matches the Rfam family "tRNA". Rfam says of the family: Transfer RNA (tRNA) molecules are approximately 80 nucleotides in length. Their secondary structure includes four short double-helical elements and three loops (D, anti-codon, and T loops). RNAcentral also lists the same sequence under 1 other name. Lineage: Eukaryota; Viridiplantae; Streptophyta; Coleochaetophyceae; Coleochaetales; Coleochaetaceae. The record is from RNAcentral.
GGGAGAGUGGCUGAGUGGUUUAAGCGGCAGACUGUAAAUCUGUUGAAGCAAUUCAAUGUAGGUUCGAAUCCUACCUCUCCCA